CUAUGAGCAAUACUCUGAAGACAAGCUGUUAGCCACAGGCAUGGUGUGACUUCCCCUUCAUACCUUCAGUGCUUAAACUUUGCUUAAUAAAUGCAAAGAGUAAAGUUUUGGCUCUUGAUCUUACCAUUUGUUCCAGUUUUGAACUAACUGAUCAGCAAUAGCUCUUGGCUCAAGAUACAAAUUCUAUGAAAAACUAAACUCACUUAUAGGCACAUUCUAAAGGUUUUGCUGUAAGUCUGCUGUUCUGUCAGAGCUUCUACCAAGGAGGUGUGUUACUGCAUACUGGAGCAGUAUUACAUGUCACGAAAUGUGUCCGAUUUUGAAGAGAGCCGGACAACCAUAAUAUUUAAAUGUGGCAAGUGUGGUGAGUAUUUGGUCUACUUGUUCAAGACAAAUAAUGGCAAAUAAUUCUGCUCCUCAAAGAAGGAAAACAGGGUUUGUUCCAAGCUUGGUUUGAUCUGAGUGGAGAACUUCCCAAAGGAGCACUUAGCCGUCAGAGCCCUAAGAUUGUUAGAAGCACCUUGUUGGUCAGCAAGGUACAUUUUCUUUGAGAUCCAGAAGACACUUGAUGUUAUGGGGUUGUUGUGGUUGACACGUAUCUUCAGUGUUACAAGCAGGACUGCUAUGAUGGUCACAAUUUGUAAUAAUCCCAAAGGAAAAUAAAUGUAAUUCAAACUAUUAAAGAUUCAUCAAGAAGUUGUUAUAGAUGUUGAUGACUAUUGCAAGGAUCAGUAGGGUGUACCUGAAGAAUCUUCAGAGGUUCCGUCACAAAACCAGCCUUCUUUAUCUGCUUAUUGGACUUUUUUAAGUCUCUGAUGCUGCUAAACUAACCCAACAGAUGAUGGCAGAAGAGAAUGCACUCUCCACAGGAGGCAAUUUUUCUGUAAUCAUUGAAGGAUCUAAGCUUCCUCGAAAACUCCAAUCUGCUCUGUCCCUUUCCACUCUUAACCCUAACCCCAACGCAAUGUUGGACUCCAUCAAAGCUGACUCAACAAUUCUCUUCAUGGUGUUCAUAGAGGGGAUCUGAAGAUGCAAGUUGUGGAGAGAAAUUUAUCUCAUGAACCUUCGCCAGUAAUUCAUGGCUGUGCAUCAAUACACAGUCUUUGUGUUUGAAGUUGGGUUUUGUGGUUGGGUUUUGGGGCAAAUGUUGGGUUCAUAAGAGACCAUCAUUCGAUGAAUUCAGUUAAUCAAUCCAUCAGUAUUGAUCCCAAAGGGAAAUGAACCAGAAAAAUUUCUGCAGCCAGAAUCUUCUUCAUUUCAGCAUGAAAAUCAGCAAUGCUCUGCAUAAGAUGGGACUUUAGUUCCAUUAAAAAUAAUAUAGUAAUGGUUUAUUGUCUUUGUAUCUAUAUUAGAAACAUAAAAUAGAGGAAAACUGCUUUGGAAUAUAUAAUCAGUUAAUUCCUGCUAUGUGUGUAUCAAGACAUUUUCUAAAAUGUCAGCAGUAUUGUCUGUGCUCCAGUCUACCUUUAGUCUCCAUGGUAACCAAUGAGAGGUAAUGUGCAGUAUGUCCAGUCAUUACUGCACUAAGUCAGAUGUUCAUCACAGGCAGACUUCCACUACUCGGCUAAAGCGGAGUCGACUUUUCAUUUACCGCUUUUUCCAACUUUGAGAAUGUUUAGUGCACUUAGUUUUUACUAAAUUAAUGUUUCUGGUUGAUUUCUCAAGCACUUGGCUCUUUUAGAAAUUAUCAGUUGAAUAAAGUUUGACAUCUUGUGUUGAAGUUUUAGUUAAUGACUUAAGAAUUCUUCAAGCAGUUAGACAUUUACUGUGGUUUGCAAAAGUAUUCAUACCCCUUGAACUUUUUCCAUUUUUUGUCAAGCCAAGACCAUGUCAAAACUUGAUGAAACUUGGCGUACAAGAAUAAAAGAACAAAAUAAAAUACAGGCAGUUAGAACAAGAUAUAAAUUCAAUGUGUAAGGCCAUGUAAAUUAUAAUAUCAAAAUUAGAAUGAGGAAAAUAAAUACUGGAACACCCUGCGACUUUGCAAGUUCUCCCACUUAGAAAUCAUGGAGAGGUUUGAAGUUUUCAUCUUGGGUGCUUGUCCACUGUGAGAGACAUAAUCUAAAACUCCAGAACCUUGAUACGCUCUUCGUGGAGCCACUCCUUGGUUAUCCUGGCUGUGUGCUUUGGGUCAUUGCCAUGUUGGAAGAUCCAGCCACAAACAAUGAGCAUCUUCAAUACUCUACCUGAGGGAAGGAGGUUGUUCCCUACAAUCUCCCCCCAGUCGAGACAUGGCCCCAGUCAGUGUAGUCGUCCUGUCCCAUGUGCAGAAAAACACCCCAAAGUAUGAUGCUUCACAGUAGGGAUGGUUUUUUGGGAUGGUACUCAUCAUUCUUCGUCCUCCAAACACGGCGAGUGGGAUUAAGACCAAAAAGUUCUAUUUUGGUCUCAUCUGACCAUAUAACUUUCUCCCAGGAUUCCUCUGAAUCAUCCAAAUGGUCAUGAUUCAGAGGAUCAUGAUCCAGAAAGAUUAUAACCCUGAAAAUUCAGGGUUAUAAUCUUUCAAGUGUUUGAGUUUUAUUGCAGGGGGGAGUUUAAUUUGAAUUUAACUUGGCACUUUAGAAAUUAACUUCCACUUGGUGUAGCAUUAACUUACGCUAAGUAGUGUUGGUUAGUGGAACUACUGUUUAGGAUUAGCGGCAGUUGGAUGGAAUGAUGGCAACAGUGGUUGACGCCAUCAUGCCUCUGGUCUAAGGACAUGUAGUGUGAAACACUUUGAGGUCUUCAGGACUUAAAGCUUUAUACAAUUUCAUACUUUAGGGUUAACACAACUAACGUUUUAGUUUGUGGUGUCCCCACUGAUCACAUGAUGUAUGGCAGCAGAUUAAUCAAGUGAACUUUUUAGUUUUGUUGGAAAUCAGAAUUCUGGAAACCAAAAAUUUUGUACCAACCUCAAAUGGUAGAAUCAAGAUUGUUGGGAAUCCGAACUCGCAUCUGUGUUUGGUUUAUGUAAUUAUUAAUAAUUGUAAUCAAUAACUUCUUGUCAAUUAAAUUAUUAAUGAAAUUAAAUAUUCUUUAGUUUUUAACUUAUGAUUCCAGGAACUCUGGAGUUAUAAGUCAAACUCAUUCUUUCGCAAAGGAAUGAAUUCAGACCAGCAGAAGAUCACUGACGCACUGAUUUCUUAUCAAGUCUGAGGAUUUAUUAAUACAAUAGCACAACUUUGCAGC
Poecilia latipinna (sailfin molly) is the source of this 3168-nucleotide long non-coding RNA. RefSeq lists it as uncharacterized. The transcript is spliced from 2 exons. The record is from RefSeq and is a predicted model, not a curated record. NCBI's taxonomy places the organism in Eukaryota, Metazoa, Chordata, Actinopteri, Cyprinodontiformes, Poeciliidae.